CUUACAGAUGGGCCCGCGGCGCAUUAGCUAGUUGGUGAGGUAACGGCUCACCAAGGCGACGAUGCGUAGCCGACCUGAGAGGGUGAUCGGCCACACUGGGACUGAGACACGGCCCAGACUCCUACGGGAGGCAGCAGUAGGGAAUCUUCCGCAAUGGACGAAAGUCUGACGGAGCAACGCCGCGUGAGCGAUGAAGGCCUUCGGGUCGUAAAGCUCUGUUGUUAGGGAAGAACAAGUAUCGGAGUAACUGCCGGUACCUUGACGGUACCUAACCAGAAAGCCACGGCUAACUACGUGCCAGCAGCCGCGGUAAUACGUAGGUGGCAAGCGUUGUCCGGAAUUAUUGGGCGUAAAGCGCGCGCAGGCGGUCCUUUAAGUCUGAUGUGAAAGCCCACGGCUCAACCGUGGAGGGUCAUUGGAAACUGGGGGACUUGAGUCAGAAGAGGAAAGCGGAAUUCCACGUGUAGCGGUGAAAUGCGUAGAGAUGUGGAGGACACCAGUGGCGAAGCGGCUUUCUGGUCUGAACUGACGCUGAGCGCGAAAGCGGGGGAGCAACAGGAUAGAUCCCUGUAGCCACGCCGUAACGAUGAGGCUAGUGUAGAGGUUCCGCCUUAGUCUGCGCUACGCAUAA
RNAcentral lists this ribosomal RNA (631 nucleotides) under Bacillus sp. ADB_BD045. RNAcentral describes it as "bacterial SSU rRNA". It matches the Rfam family "Bacterial small subunit ribosomal RNA", at positions 218 to 855 of the family's 1533-position model. The record is from RNAcentral. Lineage: Bacteria; Bacillati; Bacillota; Bacilli; Caryophanales; Bacillaceae.